AAAUUGAAGAGUUUGAUCAUGGCUCAGAUUGAACGCUGGCGGCAGGCCUAACACAUGCAAGUCGAGCGGAAACGAGUUAUCAGAACCUUCGGGGGACGAUAACGGCGUCGAGCGGCGGACGGGUGAGUAAUGCCUAGGAAAUUGCCCUGAUGUGGGGGAUAACCAUUGGAAACGAUGGCUAAUACCGCAUGAUGCCUACGGGCCAAAGAGGGGGACCUUAGG
This 222-nucleotide ribosomal RNA is filed under the name Vibrio parahaemolyticus. RNAcentral describes it as "partial 16S ribosomal RNA". It matches the Rfam family "Bacterial small subunit ribosomal RNA", at positions 1 to 213 of the family's 1533-position model. Lineage: Bacteria; Pseudomonadati; Pseudomonadota; Gammaproteobacteria; Vibrionales; Vibrionaceae. The record is from RNAcentral.